RNAcentral lists this non-coding RNA (30 nucleotides) under Mus musculus (house mouse). Lineage: Eukaryota; Metazoa; Chordata; Mammalia; Rodentia; Muridae. The record is from RNAcentral.
UGUGCAAUCCAUAGGUAAAGGCCGUUCUGU